GCAUUCGUAAUGUAGUGGUCAACACGCUCGGUGCGUACUCGAGAGGUCCGUGGUUCGAGUCCCGGCGAGGGCA
Molecule: transfer RNA, 73 nt
Filed under: Stegodyphus mimosarum
Lineage: Eukaryota; Metazoa; Arthropoda; Arachnida; Araneae; Eresidae
Rfam family: tRNA
About the family: Transfer RNA (tRNA) molecules are approximately 80 nucleotides in length. Their secondary structure includes four short double-helical elements and three loops (D, anti-codon, and T loops).
Source: Rfam by way of RNAcentral